GACGAACGCUGGCGGCGUGCUUAAUACAUGCAAGUCGAACGCAAAGUCUCUACUGUUGUUUGCUACUCCAUUGACUAACGGUUGCGUAAGGGUGAGUUAACCGUCGGUAACCUUUCUGGUAGCGGCGGGUAACUAUUGGUAACGCCAGAUAAUACCGCCUAAUACUUAUUAUUGCUUGGAAAUUAUCUGCAAGUGGCAAUUGCCUCACUACUAAACGGCUUUUCGUUGUAUUAGCUAGUAGGUGAGGUAACGGCUCAUCUAGGGGACGAUACAUAGCCGACCGGAGAGGGUGGUCAGCCAGACUGGGACUGAGACACGGCACAGACGCCUACGGGAGGCAGCAGUAGGGAAUCGUCGGCAAUGGGCGGAAGUCUGACCGAGCAGCGCGGCGGGAGGGAGGAGGAUUGUCGGAUCGUAGAGCACUGUUGUAAGGGAAGAACGGGUGUGAGAGUGGAAAGUUCACACUGUGACGGUAUCUUACCAGAAAGGGACGGCUAACUACGUG
This 505-nucleotide ribosomal RNA is filed under the name uncultured bacterium. RNAcentral's name for it is "partial 16S ribosomal RNA". It matches the Rfam family "Bacterial small subunit ribosomal RNA", at positions 28 to 507 of the family's 1533-position model. The record is from RNAcentral.